AUACAAAUAGAUAAUAAAGAAACAAAUGUUAAUUCGCCUUUUGUGCGUUCUUCCAGCUUUCCUGGCUUCAGAGAACUGCAAUGUCUGAACUUCCGUUUCUAAGAAAGACUCUAACAUGUGUUGGUAAAUAAAAAACAACCCUUUUAGCUCCACCGAACGCCUUAACUACUAAAAAUAACUCAUAUUCAAAACUACUAGCCUCCCAAUUUCUUUAAAAGACAGGAACAUGGGCAGGAUGUUUACACAGCAGAAUGUAAACAUUUUCCCUGGCCUUCUUUAAAUAAAAGAAUCAAGCAAAGCUUCGCUAGAGGAGCCAAUACUCAUUGUGAUGCCAUUUGACCGGAGUCACCGCGUCGUAAGUAAAUGUUAGUUUUUAUAACAUAACUGUAUUUUCUGAGUCUGUAUGAGGACAUUUACGCACGGGGUGCGAGGGGAGAGCUACAAUAACUCUGAAAGGUUCGAGCAGUGGGCAUCAGUACUGGACUGCAUGCAUCGACUCCUGAAAUGAUAGGCUAUUAGAAUAAAGGUCGCGUCGGCCGGGGACUUGUGACUGGCGCCCACAGGAAGCUGGGAAUUCUGUACAGAAGAGAGGAUGUCUGAAGGGGAGACAUACUGUCCUGUGCCCCCCCCCCCCCCCCCUCCCCUCACCUCCCCCCCCCCCCUCCUCUUCAUGUGACCCCUGACCCCUUGGCGUGUUUAUAUCAGACCAUGGAAGUGAGAAGUAGUGAUGAGUCACCCUGGCUCUGUGUUUACACUCUAGAGUCACGCAAGGAAGGAAAUCAGCCACGGUCUGCUAAAAGCGGCGAGGUGAGAGAAAAUAGCUGCAGACUAGCCCCCCCCCCCACACACACACCCCUCAAGCCCCCCAACACACACGCACAACCCUCCAGCCCCCCCCCCCCCCCCCAACCAAGUUCAGGAUACUCGUCCAUGUCUGAAUUUAUUUACUGCCGGCCAUGCGGCAAGGAAUUGUUUAGCAACAACAAAACUGAAAUGUUUGUAAGCUAGUAAAUUGUUGUCCAGAAAUAGGCGGAGUGGUUAUCAGACUCCUGGGACUAGUCUGCUUAUAAGAGGUGGUCAGCUUUGUGUUUCUUCAGACGCUUACCUCACUUUUAACCCUCAAUAAAACUAGCAGAUUUAGCUAAGGCCCCAGAUGGACAAAUUGUUAUCCUCAUAAACUACAUGGGAAAUUCAUAAAUAUAUUGUAAACUCACAUUGCUUAGAAAGUAUUAAACUAUUUGUGUUUUUUAACUCCAUUACCUACGCUUUUGAAUCAAAUAAAACCUUAAAAUAUA
Molecule: long non-coding RNA, 1295 nt
Organism: Gadus morhua (Atlantic cod)
Lineage: Eukaryota; Metazoa; Chordata; Actinopteri; Gadiformes; Gadidae
Exons: 2
Source: RefSeq, a predicted model, not a curated record